Molecule: long non-coding RNA, 1577 nt
Organism: Rosa rugosa (rugosa rose)
Lineage: Eukaryota; Viridiplantae; Streptophyta; Magnoliopsida; Rosales; Rosaceae
Exons: 3
Source: RefSeq, a predicted model, not a curated record
AAGAAGGGGCUGUAAACAAUUGUUGCCAAAAGAGGGAAAUAUCUCUUUUGAAAUUCUGCCGAAUAGAGACUCAAAAACUGGGUUGCAGACUAUCAGAUACACUUUCAGUCCUUAUUUCCAUUUCUUCUCUUUUCACUCCAAUCACCUAUUCCCAGUCUCCCUCUCUCUCCCAACCCCUCCUUUCUCAACCCCCACCGCCAGACUCCUCAUCUCCUCCGGCAGCACCGCAAGUAGGAGCUAUGAGAAGAAAGAAAGGAGAACUGAUGGAAAAUGCUCAGAUCUCUCUCUCCCUCAGUUAACCUCAUAUAUGAACUCGUGAUGCCAAAUCCCCAGGAUCUCUCAAACCCAGCAGAAAAUUGAGCCAAGAAGUUUCGAUAUUUCUCAACAAAUUAAACACACUAUAAAAGAAUCCGUAACAGAUCGAAAUCGAACCCACUCACUUCGGUUCUGCUUCUAGAUUUGGUCAAUUUCCUGCUUUUUGGGUACUAGAUUUCCGGUCUCCGAAACUUGUAUAUCAGCUCAUGCAUUACAGACCUGUGAGGAUAUCUGUUUUAGUGUUUGAAUCGGAUGAGUUGGUUCUGCCCCAUAGAUUUGGUGGUAUUGAGGAAUUCAAAUGGACCGGAGAUUUGGUGGUAUUGGUGACAGGAGAUGUAGUGGUAUUGGGAAUUGAAAGGACAAGAAAUUGAGGGACCAAAAAAUAAAUAUGUAACUGUAAAUAAUAUAAUAAAAUUCAAUCAAAUAUAUUAUAUUUGGUACAUACGGAUCUUUUCGGUCAUGAGAUAGUCGUCUACUGUUCAUCUUCUCUCUACUCAGGCUCUCUUCUUCUCUGCAGCUUUUUUCUUCUUUGUUUUUCCUCACCCAUGUGGUGAUGCCUCACUCUCUGUGGUGAUUCCUCAUCCUCUGUGAUGAUUCCUCACCCAAGUGGUGUUUUGUUUUCCUUGUUUUUCUCUUCUUUUGCCUCUGAUUAUUGUCCUCAAUGUUCAAAUCGGUUUUUAGAUCUUAGAUCUGAAUCUCUAAGAUCUAGUCUCAGAUUUGUUCUCAUGGUCAUUUUCAGUUUUUGUUCUGCCUUUGCUCCUCAAGAUGUCCAAACCGUGAACAAAUCUCUUUCUUCUUGUCUACCUUGCCCUGCCAUGGAAGAGUUCGCACUCCUCUUCAACCACCUCUUCAGAUCUCAGGUUUGUUUGCUAAGAUCUAUUUUGGUUUGGUUGUUGUUAUCCUUUUAUGCGAGAUCUUUUCGUAAUCGGUAAAUUGGAGAAUGCAUUGCACCUCUGCCGACCACCCCUGGUUACCAACCGUCGCUCAUGAUUUCCGUCAGAGCUCCGGUGUCGAAUCUGCUAUGGCGGCUACAAGGUGGAGAUGAAGAAGAAGCUUUGAAUACGAUUUGGGUUUUUUUUGGACUGCUUAGGCCUUUUUGUUUUCGGCUGUUUCUUUUUUGUAUUUGGAUUUCUCUAGUCUUGCUUGUUCUGGCAGUUGACUAUGUGAAUCAUGCUUUACAGACUUGUCUGUAUUGGGCUGUGUCCCUUGUACUGUUGUUUGGCUUUGAGCCUUGUUAUUUGAUGCUACCUUUCGACCAAAAA